UACAGAGGUCCCGAGCGUUGUUCGGAUUCAUUGGGCGUAAAGGGUGCGUAGGUGGCGCUGUAAGUGGGGUGUGAAAUCCCGGGGCUUAACCCCGGGACUGCAUUCCAUACUGCGGUGCUUGAGGACUGGAGAGGAGACUGGAAUUUACGGUGUAGCAGUGAAAUGCGUAGAUAUCGUAAGGAAGACCAGUGGCGAAGGCAGGUCUCUGGGCCGAUACUGACGCUGAGGAGCGAAAGCGUGGGGAGCGAACAGG
This 253-nucleotide ribosomal RNA is filed under the name uncultured prokaryote. Its description in RNAcentral is "partial 16S ribosomal RNA". It matches the Rfam family "Bacterial small subunit ribosomal RNA", at positions 524 to 776 of the family's 1533-position model. The record is from RNAcentral.